Heterocephalus glaber (naked mole-rat) is the source of this 62-nucleotide non-coding RNA. The record is from Rfam. Lineage: Eukaryota; Metazoa; Chordata; Mammalia; Rodentia; Bathyergidae.
UGUAGCUCAAUGGUAGAGCACAUGCUUAGCAUGCAAGAGGCCCUGGAUUCAAUUCCCCAGCA